This 354-nucleotide unclassified non-coding RNA is filed under the name soil metagenome. RNAcentral describes it as "partial contains 5.8S ribosomal RNA, internal transcribed spacer 2, and large subunit ribosomal RNA". The stretch from base 1 to 120 matches the Rfam family "5.8S ribosomal RNA", at positions 35 to 154 of the family's 154-position model. The record is from RNAcentral.
GAUGAAGAACGUAGCGAAAUGCGAUAAGUAGUGUGAAUUGCAGAAUUCAGUGAAUCAUCGAAUCUUUGAACGCACAUUGCGCCUCCUGGUAUUCCGGGAGGCAUGCCUGUUCGAGCGUCAUUAAAAUCACUCAAGCUUAGGUUUACCUAUUGCUUGGUCUUGGAGAUGGAAGCCAAUUUAUUGGAAUCCUCUUCGAAAUUCAAUGGCGAAUACCCUUGCUCUCCCAAGUGUAGUAAUAACUUAUGUCACUGAAGGAAGCGAGAAAUCUUCUGCCGUAACCCCCAUAUUUUCUAUGAUUGACCUCGGAUCAGGUAGGGAUACCCGCUGAACUUAAGCAUAUCAAUAAGCGGAGGA